GCAAGAAGGUAUAGUUGACCCUUCGACCGCCUUCUACUAGCAUUGGAGGGCCUUUUGGAAGCUUAACUUGAGCAGGGUUGGAGCCUUGUGGAGCUGAUUAUUGCGACUUCUUGUGACUAUUUGGAGCUUAGUACUAGAGCCAUCUACAGGAGAGGCUAG
Long non-coding RNA from Ananas comosus (pineapple), 159 nucleotides. RefSeq lists it as uncharacterized. Lineage: Eukaryota; Viridiplantae; Streptophyta; Magnoliopsida; Poales; Bromeliaceae. The transcript has 3 exons. The record is from RefSeq and is a predicted model, not a curated record.